GAUGAUCCAAGGCCUGGUUAUUGGGAGACUAAGCACCCGUUUUCCAGAGGAAGCCCUGCUGAGAUCCAGUGUACUAGUCUUUGCUGUUGUGGGCCUGGGCAUGUCUCUGUGCUCUCAACAUAGUCACAGACAGCAUGCUGACCAAGGCUGUAUCUGCUUCAGACACAGGGACCAUGUUGGGCCUCUGUGCAUCUGUGCAUCCAUUGACCCGUACUGUAGGACCCACCCUGGGUGGCCUGCUGUACCGGAGCUAUGGUGUCUCCAUCUUGGGCCAUGUGCAACUCAUGGUGAACUUGCUUGUCCUAUUGGUCCUCUGGAAGAAACCAUUGUCCCAGAAGGGAGACAAAGCCCGGUGACCACAAAACCCAACGACCUGGCCCAGUCAAGCAAUAAACUUAAGAACCUCUUCUUCUUAA
RNAcentral lists this long non-coding RNA (416 nucleotides) under Rattus norvegicus (Norway rat). RNAcentral's name for it is "long non-coding RNA NONRATT001383". The record is from RNAcentral. Lineage: Eukaryota; Metazoa; Chordata; Mammalia; Rodentia; Muridae.